UUUAGGUAGCGCCUCGUGAAUUCAUCUCCGGGGGUAGAGCACUGUUUCGGCUAGGGGGCCAUCCCGGCUUACCAACCCGAUGCAAACUGCGAAUACCGGAGAAUGUUAUCACGGGAGACACACGGCGGGUGCUAACGUCCGUCGUGAAGAGGGAAACAACCCAGACCGCCAGCUAAGGUCCCAAAGUCAUGGUUAAGUGGGAAACGAUGUGGGAAGGCCCAGACAGCCAGGAUGUUGGCUUAGAAGCAGCCAUCAUUUAAAGAAAGCGUAAUAGCUCACUGGUCGAGUCGGCCUGCGCGGAAGAUGUAACGGGGCUAAACCAUGCACCGAAGCUGCGGCAGCGA
RNAcentral lists this ribosomal RNA (344 nucleotides) under Salmonella enterica subsp. enterica serovar Kentucky. RNAcentral's name for it is "bacterial LSU rRNA". It matches the Rfam family "Bacterial large subunit ribosomal RNA", at positions 869 to 1211 of the family's 2925-position model. The record is from RNAcentral. Lineage: Bacteria; Pseudomonadati; Pseudomonadota; Gammaproteobacteria; Enterobacterales; Enterobacteriaceae.